This 1066-nucleotide ribosomal RNA is filed under the name Butyrea japonica. RNAcentral's name for it is "partial 25S large subunit ribosomal RNA". It matches the Rfam family "Eukaryotic large subunit ribosomal RNA", at positions 53 to 1106 of the family's 3401-position model. The record is from RNAcentral. Lineage: Eukaryota; Fungi; Basidiomycota; Agaricomycetes; Polyporales; Steccherinaceae.
UACCGGAAGAGACUAACAGGAUUCCCCUAGUAACUGCGAGUGAAGCGGGAAAAGCUCAAAUUUAAAAUCUGGCAGCUUUGGCUGUCCGAGUUGUAGUCUGGAGAAGCAUUUUCUGUGCUGGACCGUGUACAAGUCUCUUGGAACAGAGCGUCAUAGAGGGUGAGAAUCCCGUCUUUGACACGGACUGCCAGUGCUAUGUGAUGUGCUCUCAAAGAGUCGAGUUGUUUGGGAAUGCAGCUCAAAAUGGGUGGUAAAUUCCAUCUAAAGCUAAAUAUUGGCGAGAGACCGAUAGCGAACAAGUACCGUGAGGGAAAGAUGAAAAGCACUUUGGAAAGAGAGUUAAACAGUACGUGAAAUUGCUGAAAGGGAAACGCUUGAAGUCAGUCGCGUUGACCAGAACUCAGCCUGGCUUUUGCUAGGUGCAUUUUCUGGUUGACGGGCCAGCAUCAAUUUUGACCGCUGGAUAAAGUCCUUGGGAAUGUGGCACCUUCGGGUGUGUUAUAGCCCUUGGUCGCAUACAGUGGUUGGGAUUGAGGAUCUCAGCACGCCUUUAUGGUCGGGGUUCGCCCACGUUCGUGCUUAGGAUGCUGGCGUAAUGGCUUUAAACGACCCGUCUUGAAACACGGACCAAGGAGUCUAACAUGCCUGCGAGUGUUUGGGUGGAAAACCCGAGCGCGCAAUGAAAGUGAAAGUUGGGAUCCCUGUCGCGGGGAGCACCGACGCCCGGACCAGACCUUCUGUGACGGAUCCGCGGUAGAGCAUGUAUGUUGGGACCCGAAAGAUGGUGAACUAUGCCUGAAUAGGGUGAAGCCAGAGGAAACUCUGGUGGAGGCUCGUAGCGAUUCUGACGUGCAAAUCGAUCGUCAAAUUUGGGUAUAGGGGCGAAAGACUAAUCGAACCAUCUAGUAGCUGGUUCCUGCCGAAGUUUCUCUCAGGAUAGCAGAAACUCAUGUCAGAUUUAUGUGGUAAAGCGAAUGAUUAGAGGCCUUUGGGUUGAAACAACCUUUAACCUAUUCUCAAACUUUAAAUAUGUAAGAACGAGCCGUCACUUGAUUGGACUCGCUCG